CGAGAAGGUCGCUUUAAACCACAAACUGUACAGAAGCUAGUCCACCAAAAAAUAUAUACACGAGGGCGACAAGGCUAAAAACUCAGGAUACAACUAGCGAAAAGGCCAUAACUGUCUCAUAUACCCACAAUAAUUGUCUACAAGCCUCAGAGAUAAAGAACUACUAACAACACGGAACAAGGCCCUGACAUACCCAUUAGCUCUGCAAAGUAGAAGAAGACUCAACAUUCCUAGAAAGAAUAGCGCAUCUCAAUCAUCAACUGCACUCGACCAAAUGUAAUGGGAUCACUAUGUUCCUAAUAAUUGACAAUCUUAAAUGCCG
Molecule: long non-coding RNA, 322 nt
Filed under: Capsicum annuum
Lineage: Eukaryota; Viridiplantae; Streptophyta; Magnoliopsida; Solanales; Solanaceae
Description: long non-coding RNA (CANN_LNC005081)
Source: RNAcentral